Molecule: long non-coding RNA, 712 nt
Filed under: Populus tremula
Lineage: Eukaryota; Viridiplantae; Streptophyta; Magnoliopsida; Malpighiales; Salicaceae
Description: long non-coding RNA (PTRE_LNC000554)
Source: RNAcentral
GUUGGACGUGAAGAAUGCACUUGUUAUGGCCAAUGCAGUCACGGCUAAUACAAAGGUGGGAGGCAUGUAAUGGCAAUGUCCUUCCAACCAGGCGCAUCAGUCAGUCAUUGGACAUCCAUUGACACCGUGUUUGGCUUGCUUUUUAAUGAAAGAUUCCUCGUCUGGUUGGCUUGCUUUUUAAUUCCAGGAUUAGUUUAAUGAAGACGGUUUUUACUUGAAAACUUUCCCUUGAUGACGCCUUAACAAUCGGUUUGCAAGAUUGAGAACAGGAAAAGACAGGAGAAAUAUGGCUCAAGUCUGCUUCACUGUUUCUCUUUGUUUGUUUAUGCCUAUUGGAAUAGAAACGCUUUUCUCAAUGUUCCUAACCACAUUGUGACUGAAACUUGGGGAGAAGGAAUCACUGAAGCUAUAUAUUCCAAGAACCCUUCUGAAAGGAGCAGUCUGCUUCACUGUCUCUCUUUGUUUAUUGCUCUUUGUUUGUUUAUGCUUAGAUUGAAAAGCUAGAGUUUAGUGAUUUUUAUCAAUCUUCGAAAAUAAUAGAUAGAAAUACUGCAGACACAGCCAUUGUGACUUCUGUCCAAUCCAAAACUUGCUGCCUGCAGUCAGUUUGGGCUAUAACUUGUAUUGGUGGGGUUUUCUGAACGAUUUGAUACACGGUGGUGUGCGACGGUUGCAUGGAAGAGAAGAAAUUGGCACUGCCUGCGUGAAAUUU